UGUUAAAUCUUGAAGCUCAACUUCAAAAUGGCAGUGGAAACUAUUAGACUAGAGUAUAGUAGGGGUAAAGGGAAUUUCCAGUGGAGCGGUGAAAUGCGUAGAUAUUGGGAAGAACACCGAUGGCGAAGGCACUUUACUGGGCUAUUACUGACACUCAGAGACGAAAGCUAGGGGAGCAAAUGGGAUUAGAUACCCCAGUAGUCCUAGC
Molecule: ribosomal RNA, 208 nt
Filed under: uncultured bacterium
Lineage: Bacteria
Description: partial 16S ribosomal RNA
Rfam family: Bacterial small subunit ribosomal RNA
Source: RNAcentral